GCCAUCGGCCAUACCACGUUGAGUACGCCGGUUCUCGUCCAAUCACCGAAGUUAAACAACGUUGGGCCCGGGUAGUACUUUGAAGGGAGACCGCCUGGAAAACUGGGCGUUGAUGGCA
This 118-nucleotide ribosomal RNA is filed under the name Tropilaelaps mercedesae. Lineage: Eukaryota; Metazoa; Arthropoda; Arachnida; Mesostigmata; Laelapidae. The record is from RNAcentral.